Molecule: ribosomal RNA, 445 nt
Filed under: uncultured prokaryote
Description: partial 16S ribosomal RNA
Source: RNAcentral
CCCUAUGGGGUGCAGCAGGCGGGCGGAGAUCUGCCGAAAGGUGGAGGCGUGGGGGAAGGACCCGUGCGUGGCAAGCCGCGACAUCCGGGACGCGGCGGGGGAGCUGACGCGGGAGUCGAAACGCAACUGCGACAUGGAGAUGCUGCGGCAAUCCUGGAGGGAAACGAUGAAGGAAGCCGGCAUCACCGAUGUUCACGCGCUGUCAGGUUCAAAGAUUGACCGAAAGAGCCCGAAGGAUGUGUUCCGGGAGACGGAGCGGAGCCUGUCGGGGCGCACGGUGGCGUUCACGCGGAAGGAGUACCUGGACGAGGCGCUGAAGCGGGGUAUGGGUCACGGGCUGACACUGACGGAAAUCACCCGGUGCUUCGAAGCACAGGUGAAGGGGAAGCAUUUUUCCCGGAUGGGAGAGCUUAGCGGGAAGGAAUACUACGCGACGAGGGAGAGC